UUGCAAUAGUAAUCCUGCUUAGUAUGAGAGAAACCACAGGUUCAGACAUUUGGUGUCUGUGCUUGGCUGAGGAGCCAAUGGUGUGUAGCGACCAUCUGUGGGAUUAUGACUGAACACCUCUAAGUCAGAAUCCACCCUAAAAGGUGG
Molecule: ribosomal RNA, 147 nt
Organism: Lepisosteus oculatus (spotted gar)
Lineage: Eukaryota; Metazoa; Chordata; Actinopteri; Semionotiformes; Lepisosteidae
Rfam family: Eukaryotic large subunit ribosomal RNA
Source: Rfam